This 444-nucleotide ribosomal RNA is filed under the name uncultured bacterium. RNAcentral describes it as "partial 16S ribosomal RNA". It matches the Rfam family "Bacterial small subunit ribosomal RNA", at positions 958 to 1364 of the family's 1533-position model. The record is from RNAcentral.
AACGCGAAGAACCUUACAUGGUCUANAUAUCCAGGUGAAGUUUUGAGAGAUGGAGUUAUCCUNCCUUUCGGGANCCCGGUGUAAACAGNUGGUUGCAUNGGUUNUUCGUCCAGCUUGUUUUUUUAAAAUGUUNGGUUUAAUUCCCCCAAGGGGGCCAACCUUUUUCCUUUUUGCCAACAGGUUCNGCUGGGGACUCAAAGGAGACUGCCGGUGUUAAAUUGGAGGAAGGUGGGGAUGACGUCAAAUCAUCAUGCCCCUUAUGUNCCUGGGGCUUAAACACAUUGCUACCAUUGGCGCAUACGAAGAGAUAGGAUCCUCUGGAGNGCAACCGAUCCUCAUAAACUGGUUUCUAUUCGGAUUUGUAUUUUCNAACUUGAACCCCCAUAAAGNUGGGGUUCCUUAUUAUUCGUGGAUCCACGGAGGGGAAUCGCUGAAUACGUUUCC